Cyprinodon tularosa is the source of this 442-nucleotide long non-coding RNA. RefSeq lists it as uncharacterized. The record is from RefSeq and is a predicted model, not a curated record. Lineage: Eukaryota; Metazoa; Chordata; Actinopteri; Cyprinodontiformes; Cyprinodontidae. The transcript is spliced from 2 exons.
GAACAAAUCCUGAUUUAUAAACCAUAUAGGUUAACAAAUCUGGAUUUAUAAACCAUACUGAUGUACAAAUUCUGAUAAACCACAGAGGUGAACAAAUCCUGAUUUAUAAACCAUGGAAAAGCACAAAUGCGGAUUUACAAACCAUGCUGAUGCACAGAUCUUGAUUUAUAAACCACUGAGGUGAACAAAUCUGGAUUUAUAAACCAUGCUAAUGCACAAAUUCUGAUAAACCACGGAGGUAAACAAAUCCUGAUUUAUAAACCAUGGAAAAGCACAAAUCCUGAUUUAUAAACAAUGGAAAAGCACAAAUCCUGAUUUAUAAACCAUGCUGAUGCACAGAUCCUGAUUUAUAAAAAAUUCUGACUCACAAAUCCUGAUUUAUAAACCAUGCUGAUGCACAAAUGUGGAUUUAUAAACCAUGCUGAUGCACAGGUCCUGAUUU